CCUACGGGUGGCAGCAGUGGGGAAUAUUGCACAAUGGGGGAAACCCUGAUGCAGCGACGCCGCGUGAGUGAAGAAGUCUUUCGGUACGUAAAGCUCUAUCAGCAGGGAAGAAAAUGACGGUACCUGACUAAGAAGCCCCGGCUAACUACGUGCCAGCAGCCGCGGUAAUACGUAGGGGGCAAGCGUUAUCCGGAGUUACUGGGUGUACAGGGAGCGUAGACGGCAGCGGAAGGCUGGAGUGAAAUCCCAUGGCUUAACCAUGGAACUGCUUUGGAAACUGUGCAGCUAGAGUGCAGGAGAGGUAAGCGGAAUUCCUAGUGUAGCGGUGAAAUGCAUAGAUAUCACGCAGAACUCCGAUUGCGAAGGCAGCAUACCGGCGCCCAACUGACGCUGAAGCACGAAAGCGUGGGUAUCGAACAGGAUUAGAUACCCGUGUAGUC
RNAcentral lists this ribosomal RNA (440 nucleotides) under uncultured bacterium. Its description in RNAcentral is "partial 16S ribosomal RNA". It matches the Rfam family "Bacterial small subunit ribosomal RNA", at positions 338 to 795 of the family's 1533-position model. The record is from RNAcentral.